This 756-nucleotide ribosomal RNA is filed under the name Neisseria sp. Melo27TG. RNAcentral describes it as "bacterial SSU rRNA". It matches the Rfam family "Bacterial small subunit ribosomal RNA", at positions 43 to 788 of the family's 1533-position model. Lineage: Bacteria; Pseudomonadati; Pseudomonadota; Betaproteobacteria; Neisseriales; Neisseriaceae. The record is from RNAcentral.
CAUGCUUUACACAUGCAAGUCGGACGGCAGCACAAAGAAGCUUGCUUCUUGGGUGGCGAGUGGCGAACGGGUGAGUAACGCAUCGGAACGUACCGAGUAGUGGGGGAUAACUGUCCGAAAGGAUGGCUAAUACCGCAUACGCUUUGAGAAGGAAAGCGGGGGAUCUUCGGACCUCGCGCUAUUCGAGCGGCCGAUGUCUGAUUAGCUGGUUGGUGGGGUAAAGGCCUACCAAGGCGACGAUCAGUAGCGGGUCUGAGAGGAUGAUCCGCCACACUGGGACUGAGACACGGCCCAGACUCCUACGGGAGGCAGCAGUGGGGAAUUUUGGACAAUGGGCGCAAGCCUGAUCCAGCCAUGCCGCGUGUCUGAAGAAGGCCUUCGGGUUGUAAAGGACUUUUGUCAGGGAAGAAAAGCUUGAGGCUAAUACCCUUGAGUGAUGACGGUACCUGAAGAAUAAGCACCGGCUAACUACGUGCCAGCAGCCGCGGUAAUACGUAGGGUGCGAGCGUUAAUCGGAAUUACUGGGCGUAAAGCGGGCGCAGACGGUUACUUAAGUCAGAUGUGAAAUCCCCGGGCUCAACCUGGGAACUGCGUUUGAAACUGGGUAGCUAGAGUAUGUCAGAGGGGGGUAGAAUUCCACGUGUAGCAGUGAAAUGCGUAGAGAUGUGGAGGAAUACCGAUGGCGAAGGCAGCCCCCUGGGAUAAUACUGACGUUCAUGCCCGAAAGCGUGGGUAGCAAACAGGAUUAGAUACCCU